This 337-nucleotide ribosomal RNA is filed under the name uncultured Pseudomonadota bacterium. Its description in RNAcentral is "bacterial SSU rRNA". It matches the Rfam family "Bacterial small subunit ribosomal RNA", at positions 29 to 351 of the family's 1533-position model. Lineage: Bacteria; Pseudomonadati; Pseudomonadota. The record is from RNAcentral.
AACGAACGUUAGCGGCGCGCCUAACACAUGCAAGUCGAACGAGAAAGGGCUACGGCCCCGGUACAGUGGCGCACGGGUGAGUAACACGUAGGUAACCUACCUUUGAGUGGUGGAUAACAUCCCGAAAGGGGUGCUAAUACAGCAUAAGACCACGGUCCCGAAAGGGGCAGGGGUCAAAGCGGGCCUCUUCCUGAAAGCUCGCGCUCGUAGAUGGGCCUGCGGCGCAUCAGCUAGUUGGUGGGGUAAUGGCCUACCAAGGCAAAGACGCGUAGCUGGUCUGAGAGGAUGAUCAGCCACACUGGAACUGAGACACGGUCCAGACUCCUACGGGAGGCAG